This 70-nucleotide transfer RNA is filed under the name Sphaerodactylus townsendi. Its description in RNAcentral is "tRNA-Thr". The record is from RNAcentral. Lineage: Eukaryota; Metazoa; Chordata; Lepidosauria; Squamata; Sphaerodactylidae.
GGGCUGUGGCUCAGGGGCAAAGUAUCUGCUUUGUAUGUUGAGUGUCCAAGUUCAAUUCCUGGGAUCUCCA